GACAGACAUGAUCUGACUUAAGUUUGGAGACCAAAACUAGAAAGGUAACUGGACUAUGAAGACAGCCACUAGUUUGGCCUUGGCCCCUCAAGGUCAACAAAGAUGAAGGACACAAAGGAACCUUUCCUACAGGAUCCUACAUCUUUGAUUCAAAGCUAUAUGGCUACCAAGAUGACAAUGCCUGGCACCUAUCAAGGGCCUUCUUCAGCUGGAAGUAGCCAGAAUGGACUUUGCCCUUUGCCCCCUCACACAGUUAGGGGUACUUCUUCAGAGGGGGGAAUAUUGCAGAAAGGUAAGGUAAUUAGAUAUGUUGUGUGCAGUUAGACCAGCCCUCCAGGAGCCAACACAGCAAGGAGCCAACAUGGAGGACAAUCAAGACACAUUCACUGAAGGCCAGAAUUGUAAAAAAGAGAGAAACCACACACCCUUGUGCUUCCCCUGGGGAUAAAUAGCAGUGAUUGAUAUUCUAAAAAGGUAUCAAUCACUUGGGUGGGGGGUCAAGGUCUUAACCCAGCCUCUCCAGGAAAUAUACCUGACCUACCCUUACUGAAAAUCCUUGUAUGCUUGCUACGUGACU
This 577-nucleotide long non-coding RNA is filed under the name Heterocephalus glaber (naked mole-rat). Its description in RNAcentral is "lncRNA (ENSHGLG00000038022.1)". The record is from RNAcentral. Lineage: Eukaryota; Metazoa; Chordata; Mammalia; Rodentia; Bathyergidae.